RNAcentral lists this ribosomal RNA (382 nucleotides) under uncultured Acinetobacter sp. RNAcentral's name for it is "bacterial SSU rRNA". It matches the Rfam family "Bacterial small subunit ribosomal RNA", at positions 958 to 1339 of the family's 1533-position model. The record is from RNAcentral. Lineage: Bacteria; Pseudomonadati; Pseudomonadota; Gammaproteobacteria; Moraxellales; Moraxellaceae.
AACGCGAAGAACCUUACCUGGUCUUGACAUAGUAAGAACUUUCCAGAGAUGGAUUGGUGCCUUCGGGAACUUACAUACAGGUGCUGCAUGGCUGUCGUCAGCUCGUGUCGUGAGAUGUUGGGUUAAGUCCCGCAACGAGCGCAACCCUUUUCCUUAUUUGCCAGCGGGUUAAGCCGGGAACUUUAAGGAUACUGCCAGUGACAAACUGGAGGAAGGCGGGGACGACGUCAAGUCAUCAUGGCCCUUACGACCAGGGCUACACACGUGCUACAAUGGUCGGUACAAAGGGUUGCUACCUAGCGAUAGGAUGCUAAUCUCAAAAAGCCGAUCGUAGUCCGGAUUGGAGUCUGCAACUCGACUCCAUGAAGUCGGAAUCGCUAGU